UUUCUUGCUAUUGGGCCGGUUUUUUAGGCCUGAUAACCUACUAUUACAGGUCAAAAGCCCGUAAAACCUGCUGGUGACCUGGAAGCAAGUGCUAUAUAAGUGAAGUGAAGUUUCUUCAUUUCUCACAACUCAUUUCCAAAUUCUCUCUUCUCCUCCAAGUUCUCACUAGUUCAAAGCUUUCAAGUUAGAGUUUCUUAGAGCUUCAAGCUUCUUCUAAGCUUUUCAAGCUCUUUCUAGGCUUUUCAAGCUCCUUUUAGGAUUUUCAAGCUCUUUCUAAGGUUUUCAAGCUCUUCUAAGAUUUUCAAGCUCCUUCUAGGCUUUUCAUCAAGAAUGGCGGAAUCCGGCGAUCCUAAUGUCCCGAAGAAGGUUGUGGACCGUCAGGCGGCAAGGCUAGCCAUGAUUCGCAAGAAAGGUAAGCCUAUCUCCAUUCACUCUAGCUAUUCUAGCCUUACCGAUAUGCUUAUAUCUAGGGGGGAGGAAUUUCCAUCCUUAGUCGAGUUAGAUUCGUACUGUCACCAUUCUAACUUUAGGGACACCAAGCUUCUCCGUGAAUAUAUUGAUUAUUUUAAAAUUCCUCCUGAAUACGUUCUUAAAUUUGUUGAACCUGGGGAGAGAACUUGUCAUUGGGAUCCUUCCCAUCUUUAUGUGUAUAGGGAUACCCUUUUAGCGGGACUUAGGUUUCCAAUUCACCCAUUUAUUCCCGUUCUCUUUUCUGACGUUAGAAUCAACCCUUGUCAAGUUGGCCCCAACGGUUGGCGUUUGAUUAUGUGUUUUCUAGUUCUUUGCUUCUUAGAGGAAAUCACCCCCACUGUUCCUUUGUUUAGGAAAAUUUUCCAAUUUAAGAAUUCUCCUGAAUCCAUUCAAGGCUGGGUUUAUAUCAGCCAUAGGCCAAAGAAACCUCAUAUUUUUAACCCCUACUCCCUUCCGGAGAAGAAUUAUGCUUGGAAGGAUGAGUUUCUGAAACUAGAGUGGGUUGACGGGGAUUGGGGAACCCUUUUUAGGAGGUCCUUCGCCAAAGUAUCAGAUGGUGGAUUCCACUCCAUUGUCUUGACUAAGGCUGAGAAAUUAGCCUAUAACCAAUUGAUUCAAGGUGGAGAAGAUAGGUUGGCCUGGGAUCUCCUAGACGAGUCUGUGCUCGUAGAGGUUGGACUUUCCCGUGCCGACGCUAGAGGAUCGCGGAGAUCAAUGACUGGAAUUUGCCUCUUGAUGGUACGACGGGAAGGUUGAAGAGGUCUCGGUUGGCGGUUGACUCGAGGAUCCAGGAGCAAGGCCCCUCUAUCCUCCGGCCUCACCGAGAGGGUGGCUCUUCGAGUUUUGGUGCUAAGCCUCGAAGCCCCAAGUCUGCUGCUUUCCGUCCCGCUUGGGGGUUUCGGAAAGGGGACUCGGUGCUAGGUUCGACCGAACAUUGCGUGGAUUGGUCGCGACACUCAAUUACUCCUCCUGAUUGGAGGGAGGUUGUCAUGGGGGCAGAGCUGGAGAGGGUUGAAGCUGUAGGCUGUCAAUCCAUUGCUGCUACCAAUGUUCACUUCCAGGCCGUCCUCGAGCAGGCCAAGGCGUGGCAACGUCAAUCGGAUAAGCACCGAAAGGACUUUCUUGCUGAGGAGGAGAAGAACAAGGGGCUGGAUACUCAACUCAAGGAUUAUCAAGAAAUGUAUGCUAAGUCCCAGGGCGAUUUGAUCGAGGCCCGGGCGGAUAGGGAGAACCUGAUCGAUGGUUAUCUGGGGUCGAAGGAGUACGAGGCCUUGAUCGUUGCACAUGAUGCCGAGAUAGCUCCAAGCUACCUAUUUAGGGGCUGGAACGAGGCAUUGAACCAUGUUGUGACUCGAACCCCUGGGCUCCUCGAUCCCAAGAACUAUCCUUGUCCUUAUGGUCGCCUCGUGGCUUCUUCUUCGGGUGCCGGGACUUCUGCCGCAGGAGCAUCUAGAGCUAACGCUCAGGCCGAGUCUUCGAGCGAGGAGGAAGGCACUGCUUCGGGAGAAGAGGAGGAAGGCGCUGCUUCGGGAGAAGAGGAGGAAGGCGCUGCUUCGGGAGAAAAGGAGGAAGGCGCUGCUUCGGGAGAAAAGGAGUCAUCCGACUCCGAGGAGGAGUAGAUUAGUAUUUAUGCUCGCUUUUGGCCCUUCGUGGCUUGUUGUCUGUCUAGUUUAACUUAUCUAGUGGCCUUGCAUGGCAUUCAUGAACUUGACUUAGCUUAUGUUGUAAGAGUCGUACCGUAACUCUCAAGCUAUUAAUCUAACUAUUUCGUAUUCAAGCUUCUA
Molecule: RNA transcript, 2255 nt
Organism: Daucus carota subsp. sativus
Lineage: Eukaryota; Viridiplantae; Streptophyta; Magnoliopsida; Apiales; Apiaceae
Exons: 3
Source: RefSeq, a predicted model, not a curated record